GACGAACCGUGCAAACGUUAUUCGGAAUCACUGGGCUUAAAGGGCGCGUAGGCGGGCCGCCAGGUCCGGGGUGAAAGCCUCCAGCUCAACUGGAGACGUGCCUUGGAUACCGGCGGCCUCGAGGGAGGUAGGGGCGUGCGGAACUUCGGGUGGAGCGGUGAAAUGCGUAGAUAUCCGAAGGAACACCGGUGGCGAAAGCGGCGCGCUGGAUCUCUUCUGACGCUGAGGCGCGAAAGCCAGGGGAGCAAACGGG
Molecule: ribosomal RNA, 253 nt
Filed under: uncultured bacterium
Lineage: Bacteria
Description: partial 16S ribosomal RNA
Rfam family: Bacterial small subunit ribosomal RNA
Source: RNAcentral